GUGGUGGCUCAGCGGUAGAGCGCUUGCCUAGCAUGUGCAAGGCCCUGGGUUCCAUCCUCAGCACCACA
This 68-nucleotide transfer RNA is filed under the name Marmota monax (woodchuck). Its description in RNAcentral is "tRNA.Ala". Lineage: Eukaryota; Metazoa; Chordata; Mammalia; Rodentia; Sciuridae. The record is from RNAcentral.